AUGAGUGCCCUUUGCUGGAACUGCCGUGGAGCGGGCAAACCAGCGGCAGUCCGAGAACUUCGCGAAUUUGCGAGGAAGUUUACCCCUACCCUACUUUGUAUUGUGGAGACACGGAUUGAAGGUUCUAGGGUAGAAGCUUUAGCUAGUUCUAUUGGUUUUGAUAAUGCUUAUGCAGUGUUUAGUCAAGGUAGGAGUGGUGGUAUCGGUUUGUUUUGGAACAAUGAAAUAAAAGUUGAAAUUCUGGGUUACUCCGUUUACCAUCUUGAUGUCUCUGUAGAGGAGCAGGGUGAGGAUAAGUGGAGACUAACGUGUGUUUAUGGCGAGGCGCAGACGCACUUACGGCACCAAACAUGGACAACUUUGAAAAACAUCAGUACAACAAGCAGCUUAUGUAACACCCAGGAUGUAACUUUCCAUCUUUGUAACUCCAACUCUUGCCAUUUUCGGCUAUGUGAUAUGAUAUUUCCUCCGUGGUUGGGUUUUGUCUUUUGUUUUUCAUUUUAUUCAUGUCAUGCAUAUCAUAUCAUGUCAUCAUGUGCAUCUCAUUUGCAUACGUGUUCGUCUUAUGCAUCCGAGCAUUUUCCCCGUUGA
RNAcentral lists this ribosomal RNA (591 nucleotides) under Triticum aestivum (bread wheat). Its description in RNAcentral is "partial small subunit ribosomal RNA". The record is from RNAcentral. Lineage: Eukaryota; Viridiplantae; Streptophyta; Magnoliopsida; Poales; Poaceae.